This 688-nucleotide ribosomal RNA is filed under the name Psilocybe chuxiongensis. RNAcentral's name for it is "eukaryotic LSU rRNA". The stretch from base 274 to 427 matches the Rfam family "5.8S ribosomal RNA". Lineage: Eukaryota; Fungi; Basidiomycota; Agaricomycetes; Agaricales; Agrocybaceae. The record is from RNAcentral.
CAAGGUUUCCGUAGGUGAACCUGCGGAAGGAUCAUUAUUGAAUAACUUUGGCGUGGUUGUAGCUGGCCCUCUCGGGGGCAUGUGCUCGCCCGUCAUCUUUAUAUCUCCACCUGUGCACUUUUUGUAGAUCAUCGUUUUGGAAGCUGGAUUGAAGUCGGAGAGGUCUCUCUCUGAUGAAUUGAAAGCUUUCUCAAUGGCGGUCUACGUUUUCAUAUACUCCAAUGAAUGUAACAGAAUGUAUCUAUAUGGCCUUGUGCCUAUAAAACAAUAUACAACUUUCAGCAACGGAUCUCUUGGCUCUCGCAUCGAUGAAGAACGCAGCGAAAUGCGAUAAGUAAUGUGAAUUGCAGAAUUCAGUGAAUCAUCGAAUCUUUGAACGCACCUUGCGCUCCUUGGUAUUCCGAGGAGCAUGCCUGUUUGAGUGUCAUUAAAUUCUCAACCUUACCAGCUUUUGUUAGCUUGUGUAAUGGCUUGGACUUGGGGGUUCUUUUGCCGGCUUCUUACAAAGCCAGCUCCCCUUAAAUGCAUUAGCCGGCUGCCCGCUGUGGACCGUCUAUUGGUGUGAUAAUUAUCUACGCCGUGGAUGUCUGCUAUAAUGGGUUGAAGCUGCUUCUAACCGUCUGUUCAGUCAGACAAUUAAUGACAAUUUGACCUCAAAUCAGGUAGGACUACCCGCUGAACUUAAGCA